RNAcentral lists this transfer RNA (77 nucleotides) under Corallococcus sicarius. RNAcentral describes it as "Corallococcus sp. CA040B tRNA-Arg". It matches the Rfam family "tRNA". Rfam says of the family: Transfer RNA (tRNA) molecules are approximately 80 nucleotides in length. Their secondary structure includes four short double-helical elements and three loops (D, anti-codon, and T loops). Further hydrogen bonds mediate the characteristic L-shaped molecular structure. tRNAs have two regions of fundamental functional importance: the anti-codon, which is responsible for specific mRNA codon recognition, and the 3' end, to which the tRNAs corresponding amino acid is attached (by aminoacyl-tRNA synthetases). tRNAs cope with the degeneracy of the genetic code in two manners: having more than one tRNA (with a specific anti-codon) for a particular amino acid; and 'wobble' base-pairing, i.e. permitting non-standard base-pairing at the 3rd anti-codon position. Lineage: Bacteria; Pseudomonadati; Myxococcota; Myxococcia; Myxococcales; Myxococcaceae. The record is from RNAcentral.
GACCCCGUAGCUCAGUUGGAUAGAGCGGCGGUUUCCUAAACCGCAGGCCACAGGUUCGAUUCCUGUCGGGGUCGCUA